GGCCUCCCUCUGUGGGGCGAUCAAUUGCGGGGCUCCGUGAUCCACUGCCCAGCAGAGGGAGGCC
Molecule: non-coding RNA, 64 nt
Organism: Myotis lucifugus (little brown bat)
Lineage: Eukaryota; Metazoa; Chordata; Mammalia; Chiroptera; Vespertilionidae
Source: Rfam